UACGUAGGGUACGAGCGUUAAUCGGAAUUACUGGGCGUAAAGUGUGCGCAGGCGGCCGCGCAAGUCGAGUGUGAAAGCCCCGGGCUUAACUUGGGAAUUGCGCUCGAAACUACGUGGCUGGAGUAUGGCAGAGGAAGGUGGAAUUCCACGUGUAGCGGUGAAAUGCGUAGAGAUGUGGAGGAACACCGAUGGCGAAGGCAGCCUUCUGGGCCAAUACUGACGCUCAUGCACGAAAGCGUGGGGAGCAAACAGG
This 253-nucleotide ribosomal RNA is filed under the name uncultured bacterium. RNAcentral's name for it is "partial 16S ribosomal RNA". It matches the Rfam family "Bacterial small subunit ribosomal RNA", at positions 524 to 776 of the family's 1533-position model. The record is from RNAcentral.